UACAGAGGGUGCAAGCGUUGUUCGGAUUUACUGGGCGUAAAGCGCACGUAGGCGGAUCGAUCAGUCAGGGGUGAAAUCCCAGGGCUCAACCCUGGAACUGCCUUUGAUACUGUCGAUCUGGAGUAUGGAAGAGGUGAGUGGAAUUCCGAGUGUAGAGGUGAAAUUCGUAGAUAUUCGGAGGAACACCAGUGGCGAAGGCGGCUCACUGGUCCAUUACUGACGCUGAGGUGCGAAAGCGUGGGGAGCAAACAGG
RNAcentral lists this ribosomal RNA (253 nucleotides) under uncultured bacterium. RNAcentral describes it as "partial 16S ribosomal RNA". It matches the Rfam family "Bacterial small subunit ribosomal RNA", at positions 524 to 776 of the family's 1533-position model. The record is from RNAcentral.